Molecule: long non-coding RNA, 7154 nt
Organism: Canis lupus familiaris (dog)
Lineage: Eukaryota; Metazoa; Chordata; Mammalia; Carnivora; Canidae
Exons: 4
Source: RefSeq, a predicted model, not a curated record
CGGGCUCCCGGUGCAUGGAGCCUGCUUCUCCCUCUAUGUCUCUGCCUCUCUCUCUCUCUCUCUCUGUGACUAUCAUAAAUAAAUAAAAAUUUAAAAAAAAAUAGAUAUUUGAAUUAGCUGAGAGCUGCAGUCAAAAUUUGUGAGCUGAGAAAGCAUUCCCCUUACAGAACGCUGCCAUGCCUAGGAUUCCUCUAUUCUGAAUAUACUACUCAUCAGAUUGACCCUCCUAAGGAAAUCUCCAGAAUUUAUUUUGUAAAAGUCUUAGGGGUGGCCAUCUGGUUGAAAGAUGGAGGCCAACAGACUUGAUUUGAAACUGUUUGCAUUUUUCUACUCAAAUUGUGUCACUAAGGUGGGCUUGUGGGAGAGGAAGGUUAGACCCCAUUGCCCAAGCUAGCCUUUGGUCCCACGGUACCUGAACACCGAAGGGAGGACUCUACAUGUAAAAACUUUGGAGAACAAAACCCAUAGCAUGAGAAAGAUGAUGGUUCGUGCCAACCCAGGGCACAGAGAGGCUUUGUUGGGCAAAGUUUGGGCUGUUUGGGCUUUUCAGAACACUCAAAACACCUGUUGCCCAGGAUGGGGGUAAUCUCCAUCUUGGUGGUGAAAUGCUGAAACCCCUGCCAAUGCUGAUAGAACUCCUAACAGGAUGCUUCCUUGAUGAAUUUACUAGAACUCAACUGUGUCACAGAUACGAAACAUCUCAUACUAAUCAUGACCUCCACAUUGAACCUUGGGUUGCUUUCCCAACAGUAGCUCCUGCAGUUGUUCUCAGAUGAAAUCAAAUUACUGUGGAAAAAAUGUGUGAGACCGCCCUUCCCACAACAGGGUGAAAAGGGCAGCUUCCCGGGUUACCACACGUUGAAAAAGCUAUCUCACCAACCUACAGGUGGUGUUAUUCAAGCACAAGAACGUGUGGAAUGUGUCAAAUGUGUGUGUCAAAUGUGUGUCAAAUUAGGUAGCCUCCCUCCUGAAACCGUUAAAUCUUUGCAUCUCAUCAUAAGAGGGGGGGGGGCGGGGUUCACAGAGGGGUUGUCGGUGGGAACCCAGCAAUGUAUCAACUGGAACCAAACAUCUCACUGCAGAAACAAGAAGGUGCUUUGCAGUGGCCAAAAGAGAGGGACCGAGCCUGGCACAUUAGACCUUCCUUUAGUAGUUCUUUCCAGAAAUGCUCUGAGUGGCAGUUCCCCACCUUUUAGCAUUCCCGAAAAUAUUUAAGAUAAUGAGACAGGCACUUGGACUUCAAGUUUCUAUUAAGGAGCUUUAAUGAAAAGACUCUUGUGUGUAUAUUGAGCCCCCAGAACUCUGGGACAGCUUCCGGCUGGAAAAUGCCAUUCCACACCCUCCUCCCCCCGGAGCUCUCUGGGCUGGCACCACAGAGACACACCUGCCGUGGGGACCCACCACUGGAUGUCAGCCCAAGGUGUGAGUCCCAGGACAUUUCCUGAGUCCUCAUUUGGCUUUCUCACUCUCUCUGUCUGGGUAAUUGGGAGAAAUAAAUGAGGUAACAACGUCAGGUGCAUAUUAUGCCCUUCCGUUCCAUGAUCCUAUGAAACCCAAGACAAGGUCUUGCAGUGGCUUUGUCAUUACCCUGCGCAGUGGGCACUUGCGUUCUUGUUUGCCCGGCUCCAAUUCCCUCUUUCCCUGAUAACAGCCCCUCGGUCUUUUUCCUGGAGAACCUCUCUGCCAUUGCUCAUGGUUUGGGUGCCCUCCUCUGGCCAACAGCUGAGAACAUGACCCAAGCCAGACCAAGUGGAGUUGCCCUUCUGGGAAUGUGGAUCUCGGGCAGGACCAAUGCCAGGAUAGAAAACUUUCAGAGCUAAUUAAAGCUGGGCUCCAGGCCCCAAAGAGCCUGUCCAUCAGUUCCAGCUCUGCUGCAUCCCUGCAGUUCACCCUGACCCUCACCCCUUCCUCGGGUUCCUGGAGCUACUGCCUACCCUCACAUUAAAUUCCUCCUCCACCUCUCCAAGCCUGGUGGACUUCUGUCCUUUGCAACAAUGUGUCUCAGCUCCCCUUUCCCUGCACAGAAGAAACCAAUUGCCAAGUCACAGUAACUGAGGUGGCAGCAGGAUGAGAAGUGAGCCUCCAUCUCAGCAGCCUGUGCCCCCUCCACUGACCCCUCCUAGGACUCUCCUCUUGGCCCCUCACCUUCCCUCCCUGCCACAUCGUUCUGCAUUCCACAUCAUCCCAGCUCCCCAGCCAUGAUCUAUUUCAACCCUCAAGUCUCCUUUUCCUUUGGUACCAGGUUAUUUUCAUAAAUCUUUCAUUUUAAAAUAAAUCUCAGUGUCUCAUUCACCACAACAUUUCUAAAAUUCAUUCCUCUGCCCCAUUUCUCUGCCAGCAUGCUCAUUCCAGAGGAGGGCCCUUCCCACUUGAAUGUUGGCAGCAUCCUGGCCUCUUGGCUUCCUCUCCUGCCACCUUCCUCUCUCCCAGAGAGAAAAUGAGGUUUGGACUUGGGUGGGUUGAAAGCCCAUCCAUGCAUGCCAUGCAUAACAUUCCCUUCCUCAGCACUGAUGCAUUCUAAGACAAAAAGGCCUUUGAUAAUGUUUCUCUUGGGGCCUGUUUGGCACCAUUUUGCAAAUUGAGAGACAUUGGCUAAGUUCUUCCUGCUGGAGAGUAAGCAGUGGUCACCAACAAAGGGCAAGCUCAGUCACUACCCGGUCUAUAGACUGCCUAUACAGCUGAACCCCACAAGUCACCACAUCCUCACCCAACUCAGGGGUUGAAGGCAUGAGCAUGGUACAUGGAUGGUAUCUAUUCCACCUAAACAUGUUUUACCCAAUCAAGCCACUACAAAAAUGUCCCUGUUUGGCAGCCAGGGAUCAUACCCUCCCCUCAGGAAGUGGUUACAUAUUAAGAAUUCAGGGUACCUCUUACAGCUGGGAAACACAUUCUAUGGGCUGUCCUCUGGGGGCCCAUAAGGAAUUCACACCUGUGAUUAGGUUAACUGAAGGUCCGAUUUCCCUAAAGCCCUGUACAGAUCCAGUUGAGAGAGCAGCUCUCUGGCAACAAACUGAGAUUUUUAGAGAGAAAUAGUGGUACAACAGAUUCGGGUAAUUUAGCAUAUCACAAUAAACAGUGUGACUAGAACUAAGCUAGCUAUUGCCGACACACGCAAUGAAGAGUGGUCUACCUAUGUACAACCUAACCCCUAUCAUUAGAUUUGUACCGAGCAUUUUGAAAAGUCUUUCUGGUGUGAAAUAUUGAAUUGGCUAUUCACUAGAAAUAUCCCAUGCUAUUUAAAAUUAGAUUAGUAUUUUACUUUUGUGUGGUAUUCAGAAAUAGCAUGUUGUACAAUAGAAUUACCACAUAUGUGGAACAUAUGUUCUUGUUCCAGUUGGGAGAAAUUAUUUUUAUAAAUGCAGGCUAGAGAACCUAUUUUUAAAUGAAUUCUCUUAAACUUAAAAUUCAUUUUGAAGCUAAGGCCCACCACCAUUAAAGAGGAGAGGGAGGGAGGGUGGAAGGAAGGGAAGGAAAGUAAAUAGGACAAAAUUCAACAUCUACUUUCAUGGCCAUGUUGAUAUUCAGUGAGUUCUCUAAAGGAUCUCAUAAAUUCAAGGCUCCAGUCUCAGAGCUAGGUUUGAUUCUCCUCGUCUCCAGCAUACUCUUGUGCCCCUGAAAGUUGAAUCAUGGGCCGAAAUUUCCAGUAUUUUCCUUUUCUCCCUUCUUUGAAGUCCAUUAAUCUUCAUGUUGAUUUUCCCUCCACCCUCUUGAAAAAAUGUAUGCGUCCCCAAGUUGGAGAGCCAGGAGCUGGCACCUUGGGACGAGAUCACAUGGAACAAGAAAGGCAGGAAAGGCAAGCGCCUCGCCAGUGUGGUGAGCCACCACCACAAACCAUGGCUGGCAUCUUGAGAAGGGAAGUGAGUCAGUCCUCUGAGUUCUGUGGUGACGAACCCCAGAGCCUCUGUCACCCCCUUCCCUUGCUGUGGGUGCACGCCUGACCAAGCAUGGGGCCUCCUGCUGGGAUGCAGGGCCAGACAGAUGUUCUUUUGUCCUUAACACAACCGUGCAAACUGCUGCUCUUGAAUAUCAAGUGUGGUUCAUAUUCUUAAUCUAAACCCACUUUAAAUCAAUACAUUCUAUUUCCAGUAAAGAGAAGUUGAAUAAUACAUGUCGACGGUGGACUGUGUACUUGGAACUUUUCUGAGGCGACUUCAGAACAGAUGGAAUUACUAUAUAUGUACGUACAUAUGAAGAACAAACGUGUAUAAGUAAGCAUGAAUCCGUGCCUUUGAAUGAUUACAACUGAAUGAAUGCAACAGAAUGAAUCUCCUCAUCCAAACACUCCAUCCAUAUAAAAAACCUGCACGAUGUGAAGGCUGUCAUCUUGGACAAUGAGGUGACCUUAAGGAUGACAGGAUGCUGAGACAGAAAGAUGGACACUGACUCCCUGUAUGAACUACCCUUAGGCUUCCUUCACUUGGAAAGCUCCACUCCAGAAUGCACCCGACUCUCUUCAUGCCUUCACCUGAGCAACCACCAGAGGAAGUGCACAGGGGAGCUGCUGGCCUCCAUGUAGGAAGCAAUCUUCCCCAGGCUCUGAGAGACCCAUCUCCUCCUGAGGCAAAUCCAGAGACGCACACUGCCAGGAGGACGAUCGCUGGAGGCAGACAAGUUCAUUCUUCUGUUUUUGAACUUGACUUUAGAGACAAUAAUCGGGAGAGAAAGGUUUCAGGUUUCUAAAUUUACAAACUAUUUGAGUUUUAUAGAGCCAGCAGACAUAUGGAAAUGUGUGUGCAUGUUUUGGGUUUCACAGUGAUGGGGGUUGGGGGGGCAGGGCCAUGUGCCCUUUGACUCCUACACAAUGAGCAGUUAUCCUGCCCCACAGCCAAACAGUGGCCCCAUCCUGGCAUUUCCUCCCUCGGCUUCCAUUGUGAAUAGACAAGGGCCUGAGAAAGGUAUGGUUAUCAGGAGUUCAAAAACCCCAGGAAUGAGGGUCAUCUGGGUGGCUCAAUGGUUGAGCCUCUGCCUUCGGCUCAGGUCAUGAUCCUGGGGUCCUGGGAUCGAGUUCCACAUUGGGCUCCCCGCAGGGAGCCUGCUUCUCCCUAUGCCUGUGUCUCUGACUCUGUGUCUCUCAUGAAUAAAUAAAUAAAAACAAAACAAAACAAAACAAAAAAACAAAUGAGGAUUUGGGUGAUGCCAUCAGGGGGUCACUGAGACCAGUGGAGGGGAUAGCUGAGGGUAAGAAGAAUCUUAAAUAGACAGCGAAGUGGGGAGAGAAUCAGUCUCACUGCCAGCCUGAGACCAAAUGUGGCAACAGGGGCUGUUGUUUGCCACUCUAACCUCCCAAAUUUCUCCCCUGAAAGUGAGGCCCAUCAGCACCUUGGAAGAGCUACUAUCUGAACCUACAUGGGGAGGUGGACUGGACUCCAGUGGCCAAGGCAGAGGCCCAAGCUGACCUCCCCUCAGGAAAGACCUUACUGUUCUGCUGCCAGAAGUGCCUGAGUGAGAGCCUCCAGCUGCUCGCCUUGGGGAUCCACAGCCGUGCAGGAGCUGAGGCCACUCUCCUCUGGGCAGUCUGCUGGGCAGAGUUAGGGGUGCUAGUGGUGGUGAUCCUCUGCCCACAAGAUCUCUUCAAACAGGCAUCUAGAGCACCAUAUAAGGCGGCCUUCGUCUGAUCCACAUUGUGAUUUGAGUCUCCUCCUGUCUAAUGCUUCUUCCCUUCCCUUCUGUGCCUCUUACAGGUGACAGAUCACCACAGACAAGGCUUUUCCUCCCCCGUCCUGCUCCCUCUCCCUGACACCCCCUUAUCAUUAUUCUUCAAUAAAUGUCUUGUAUCCCUAACUCAAAUGCUGAGGGUCAGCAUCCUGAAGGAUCCAAAUGACAGAGAUGAUUAAAGAAUGGGAGAUCCAGGACACCAGUGGACAACCCCCUCACCCUGUACCAAUUCAGGAUUAAGCCUGGUUGGUCAUUCUUUCUCAAAGCAUUAUGCAUUGGGUAUUAGGUUCCAUUUUCAUUAUCUGGUUUGAGCCGUUACUCCAAUUUGCCUUCAUAUUUAUUUAAUUAUGUAGUGUUUCAACUUAUAAAAAUAAUGCGAGGUAGAAUUCAAGCAGUAGAGAAUUAAAAUUAUACUUCUAUAUUCCAAUCCUAAUCCCCAGAAUUAACCAUUAAUUUGUGUGUCCUUCCAAACUGACAUAUGUUCCUAUAUACCAAUGGGAUUAUAGGAAACAUUGUGACCCAUCCUGCUGUGUAUUUUAAAAUUAAAACUAUUAUUUUGGACUUAUGAUCAUUUUUCAAUAUCAAUAUACGUAAAUCUAUUUCAUUCUUUUUUAACAGCUGUUAUAAUAAUUUAGUAACUCAUGUCAUUGAAUAACUUUAUUUCCAAGAUUUGCCUUUUAUAAAUAUGGCUGCUGUGAAUCUCCUUGUAUUUAUUUUUCUGGAAAGUGAUGCUCCCAUGUUCUCGCCCAUUUUUUAUUGGAGUGUUUACUUUUUUCAUAUUGAUUUUUAAGAGUUCUUUAAAUGUUAAAGAUACUGGCUCAUUUUCUGAUGCACGUUGUAAACAUUUUUCUCUAGCUUUUUAUCUUCUGACAUUGCUUGACAUAUGUUUUUCUUUAUAAGAUUUAAAAUUUGUACAUGGUCAAAUUUAUGAGCAUUUUCUGUUACGAAUUUUAGGUUUGGAGCCUUGCAUUGAAAGGCCUUCUCUAUAGUAAUAGCAUGAAAACAAAUCAUCUAUGUAUAUUUCUAGUAUAUUUGUAGUUUUCAAGUAUUUAAAUCUUUUCUUUUCUGGAGUUUAUUCUGGCAUAAGCGUUCUAGUUUUAUUUUUUUCCAAAUGACUGUCAGUGAUUCUGAUGUCAUGUACAGAACAAACCAUCUAUCCUUCCACUGAUUUGAAAUACCACCCUUGCCACAUUCUAAAUACCCGUAGUACUUCUUUAUUAAUAAGAUUCUUGGUUCCUUUAGGAUCCUUACAGAACCUUUGUUAAUCGACCAUAUGGGAAAAAAUGAAUGAAAUAAAUAACAGAAUGGAAACAAUCACCUACAUGUACAUCAACAGGAAAGUUGUCCAAGGUCCUCAUGGGUUUUACAGAGUGCUGGGUCAAAGGUUGAAUAAGAUGGUCCACACCUUCAGUGGAUGCCAGGCAAGCAAGCAAGGGGGCAUGGAUCGGGGCAAUGCAGAUUCUUGCUGCCCUCUUACUGUGAAAUCCUUCCCAUUAAAG